CAACCCCCUCCUCCCAUUACUGCUCCCCUUCUCCUUAGAGAUGGACUGCACCCUGGGACAUCAAGUCUCAGCAGGACUACGUUGCAUCCUCUCCCAGUGAAGCCAGACAGGUCAGCCCAGGUAAGGGAAGGGGAUCUAAAGGCAGGCAACAGACUCAGAGACAGUCCCUGUUCCAGUCGUUAGGAAGACCAAGCUGCACAUCGGCUACAAAUGUGUAGGGGGCCUAGGUCCAGCCCGUGCAUGCUCUUGGUUGGUGGUUUAGACUCUGUGAGGCCCCACAGGCCCAGGUUUGUCCACUCUGUUGGUCUUCUUUCAGUCUCCUUGACCUCUCCAGCUCCCUCCGCUACUCUUCCACAAAACUCCCCGAGCUCCGCCCAAUGUUUGGCUGUGGGUCUCUGCCUCUGUUCCGAGUCCCCAUCUCUUAAUCAUAUUGGCCUCACUCAAAAUGUGGAGAAAAUGUAUUCAAACCACAGCAACCUAGAAGUGGGGCUGCUAGAUUUUAUAUAUCGUAUUAUCUUCAAAAAUGUCCAGCAACUUCUAUUACUGUUUUCCAGAGCGAGUGCAGCAUUUUACUGAGACAGUUUUGAGAUGUAUUCUGCACUCUCCCCCCAGGAGGUCCCUCAUGAUAUUUUAAUCACAUCAUGAGCCCUUUUCUCCCUGGCUCACAUGUCUAUACUGCUUCCUCUUUACUUCCUGAACUUGCAAUCUGAAUUCACUACAAGUGUCAAGUCUUCACCAGGGUCUCUUCUGUUCGGAACUCACGUCAAGGCCUGCCACUUGCUUCAGGUUGUGGAGUCCCUGAGUGGCUGUGCUGAGUAUCUAUUGCUGUGUAAUGAACUGCUUGCUACACAAUCUGGUAGCUUCAGAUGGCCUUAUUAUGGGUGAUUUUUUUGGUGGGGACAUCCACCAUGGCUAUAGGUAGAUGCCAGGGGAUAGAGGCAUCUCCUAGCUCUACUGAACUGGUUUUCCAGAACAGCCAAGAGUUCAGGGUCAAGAGGAAGAAGAAGAGCCCUGCUAACGGAUUCUUCUGGAAUAGCAUGGGGUUACCGCUACCACAUUCUAGUAAAAACAGUACUUUCAGGCUCUCUCGAUAGGAGAGGUAGAGAGAUGAAUCACGGCGCGGUUUGACUGUGAGAAGCCCCCACAAGCUCUUGUUCCCAGAUAGUGGUCACAAAUUCAAGAUGUGGGGGAGCUGGCUGGCGAGGGCGGGCCCUUAGGAGCACAUCUAGUCCGUACCGCCCCUCCCGUCCGUCUCUGUGGUGGCUGACUGGCCUCUGUGGGCAGCUUUGCUCCGGCAAGCUCUUGCCGCCACAGUGCCCUGCUUCACUGCUGCCCACAGCGAUGGAGCAAGCUGACCCUGGACUGACAGCAGGAGCCCAGAUACUGCGUGCGCGCACGGCAGAAGGACAUCUGGACAGGACAAGUUUUUUGUUUUUGGUGGGCCUCAGGGCCAGGAUGCAAACCUGGUCAGUAUGGUUUGAGAAAUCCUAAUUCCAAACUUCCAUUUUGCGUCUGCUGAAGACAAAUAAAGGAGACUGGUCAUUUCUAGAGGACUGGAGGAUGAGCUGAAGACAAUGGAAAACAUAAGGCUGAUCUAACAGGAUCCCGUGUUUGAGUCCAGACUGAUGUGGCCUCAAGUGAUUGGCAGCCUUGAUAGGGACUUGGAAGGCUCAGAGCAGCGUCACUUAGCAUGUUUGGGAGGGGCUGGCGAGGCAGCCCAGCUGUAAAGGUGUUCACCUUUGCCAACCUGGUCCACUCGGUUUGAUCACUGGCAGACCUCUCUACAGAAUGGUUGACAACUAUAGCAAGUGAGUGAUCCCAGGGAGUGAGACAGAAGCCAGUGUCUUUUAUGAGCAGGACACUUUCUGUCAUUCCUACAACAGAUUAUACAGGUGAGCUCCGCGCAGCAUAGGAGGGAACUUCCAUGGACGUUAGGAGGCCUAACUUCCAGGAGGCACGGUGUACCACUGAAGGCUGGUGGUCCGCAGAGCAGCGGAAGGGGCUGUCGUGUGGCUGGAGGAUCACGAUGAACAGGAGCUGGCUGUACUGACGAAAUCUGCUCCGGUCAGGUUGGCCAAGUUCUGGCUCCAGCUGAGGGAUGGAGCGAGCCUGUCUUUCCUCCAAGAUGCCCAUGUAGCUUCUGCCCACGCUGGCACUGCUGGAUCCUGUUACACUGUCACCGCGCAAGACAAGAACUGUGGGGAAGACAAUGGCCUCCAUUGAGGAAUGAUGACGUAAAGGAACCAGCGAUUGCACAGCGGCCAUUCAGGAGACAAUAAGUGUUUCAAGAGGCCCAGGGGUGCUGAAGGGGAGCAAAGAUGCACAUCAUCAGCCUUGUCAUUUCGUCCCCUCUCUCAGGUCUCCGACGCUGUGCCAAGAGAAAAAUCUCUCCUGGAUCUGUCUGAAAAGCUCCCGCCUUGGCAUCUCAUGUCCAGCAGAGCACUGGGUACUGCCAUAUCUAAGAACUUUACGUGACUCCAGCCAUCUGUCAGCCGGAGGGGAUGGGGUGUUCUUUGUUCUUGGGCUUGAGCAGAGCUCCCAGCUAUAUACCCAGGGUCUGGCUGUAUUGUUGUCUGUCUUAGUUAGGAUUUCUAUUCCUGCACAAACAUCAUGACCAAGAAGCAAGUUGGGGAGGAAAGGGUUUAUCGAGCUUAUACUUCCACGUUGUAGUUCAUCACUAAAGGAAGUCAGGACUGGAACUCAAGCAGGUUAGGAAGCAGGAGCUUAUGCAGAGGCCAUGGAGGGAUGUUUCUUACUGGCUUGCUUCCCCUGGCCUGCUCAGCCUGCUCUCUUAUAGAACCCAAGAGCACCAGCCCAAAGGCGGUACCACCCACAAUGGGCCCUCCCCACUUGAUCACUAAUUGAGAAAAGGCCUCACAGCUGGAUCUCAUGGAGGCACCUCCCCAACUGAAACUCCCUUCUCUGUGAUAACUCCAGCCUGUGUCAAGUCGACACUCAAAACCAGCCAGUCCAUUGUCUUAUGUUGUCAUGAGUGAAGAUACAAUUCUGCCAUCAUGUCUGACAGUCAGAACAGAGAGGGGACGAAGCGCCCUUCUCAGAACCUUAGCUGGAAGCCACUUGCCAAGGUCUUUGCCGGAGGGUUAGGUAGAUCUGGGGAUUCCUCAUGGCAAUAUGGAGAAAAAGGCCUUUCUGGGAAGGCUUCUGUUGAUCUGGGGCUCAAGGGUUAGCUCACUCUGGAGUGCCACCUGGAGAUUCUGCGUUGUCAGCUGUCCAGGUGAGCACAGACGGCUCUUCUGAUCUGAGCUUAGCCACUUACGUAGGGUGUGACCUUUGCAAGGCAGUGUGUGGUUUUCUUUUUUGUGUGUGUGCAAGGGCUGGCUGGCAUUUCUAUGGAUGUAUCCCCUUCCAGCAAUCCUUUUGGGAAACUGCCUUCUUCCCUCCUUUAUGCAAUCAGUGAGGACAUUGCAGGGCUGGAGGCGGGGCUGCAGGAAGCACACGGAACUGACACGACACUCCAUACCUUUAUUUACUUGAAUGUGUGAGGCCAGAAACAGCCACGUGUCCGUGGACAAAACGAAUCCCAUAAUUAAAAUCAAGCUCUAAUUGCUGGGUGAACUUUGCCUUCUGAAGGGAAAUCGUUGACGAUAUUUGUAAGAAUAGCAAUCAUGAACCUGUGAAAACUGCUGCUCCCCAGUUCCACUCGCCUGGUGAUUCCACUUGGAAUGCAGACUCUCAGAGCAUCUGUGCUAGAGAUGUCCCAUUGGCACCUGGGCGUUGCCUGGUCCUCCACCUACUCAGCUUAGAGUCCCGGGAUGCUGGAUCCUAAAGCCUGCAUCAGUGGGUUCCUAGGAUGUUGUUCUAGGUCCUCACAGACAGUACCUAGGGGACAGGGAGAGAGAGUCAGGAUGUCUCCCUUCCCAUAACCUCUUCCUUUCUUGGCCCCUGUUGUUUGGUCCAUUUCUUGCCCAAGGCCACAAUUUCUGGCUGCUGCCAUCUUUCCUGAGUUCCUGUAGCUGUUCCCUCACCUUUGGGAGGGUCCCCUAGUGUUGUUGGCCACGGGAAUGAGUUUUAUAUCAUCUUAUAAACUGACCUGCAUCUUUGUAUAUGGUCUCUAUUAAACUCUCCUCAAACCA
Apodemus sylvaticus (European woodmouse) is the source of this 4094-nucleotide long non-coding RNA. RefSeq lists it as uncharacterized. NCBI's taxonomy places the organism in Eukaryota, Metazoa, Chordata, Mammalia, Rodentia, Muridae. The record is from RefSeq and is a predicted model, not a curated record. The transcript has 3 exons.